UGGGGAAUUUUGGACAAUGGGGGCAACCCUGAUCCAGCAAUGCCGCGUGAGUGAAGAAGGCCUUCGGGUUGUAAAGCUCUUUUGUCAGGGAAGAAACGGUGAGGGCUAAUAUCCUUUGCUAAUGACGGUACCUGAAGAAUAAGCACCGGCUAACUACGUGCCAGCAGCCGCGGUAAUACGUAGGGUGCAAGCGUUAAUCGGAAUUACUGGGCGUAAAGCGUGCGCAGGCGGUUAUGUAAGUCAGAUGUGAAAUCCCCGGGCUCAACCUGGGAAUGGCAUUUGAGACUGCAUGGCUAGAGUGUGUCAGAGGGGGGUAGAAUUCCACGUGUAGCAGUGAAAUGCGUAGAGAUGUGGAGGAAUACCGAUGGCGAAGGCAGCCCCCUGGGAUAACACUGACGCUCAUGCACGAAAGCGUGGGGAGCAAACAGG
Molecule: ribosomal RNA, 429 nt
Filed under: Variovorax paradoxus
Lineage: Bacteria; Pseudomonadati; Pseudomonadota; Betaproteobacteria; Burkholderiales; Comamonadaceae
Also listed under: 2 other names
Description: partial 16S ribosomal RNA
Rfam family: Bacterial small subunit ribosomal RNA
Source: RNAcentral